RNAcentral lists this ribosomal RNA (253 nucleotides) under uncultured bacterium. RNAcentral describes it as "partial 16S ribosomal RNA". It matches the Rfam family "Bacterial small subunit ribosomal RNA", at positions 524 to 776 of the family's 1533-position model. The record is from RNAcentral.
UACGUAGGGGGCUAGCGUUGUCCGGAUUUAUUGGGCGUAAAGAGCGUGUAGGCGGCCAGGUAGGUCUGCUGUGAAAACUCGAGGCUCAACCUCGAGACGUCGGCGGAAACCAUCUGGCUAGAGUCCGGAAGAGGAGAGUGGAAUUCCUGGUGUAGCGGUGAAAUGCGCAGAUAUCAGGAAGAACACCCGUGACGAAGGCGGCUCUCUGGGACGGUACUGACGCUGAGACGCGAAAGCGUGGGGAGCGAACAGG